GUGAGGAAUAUUGCGCAAUGGAGGCAACUCUGACGCAGUCAUGCCGCGUGCAGGAAGAAGGCGCUACGCGUUGUAAACUGCUUUUAACCGGGAAGAAACCCCAGGACGUGUCCUGGGUUGACGGUACCGGAGGAAUAAGCACCGGCUAACUUCGUGCCAGCAGCCGCGGUAAUACGAAGGGUGCAAGCGUUAUCCGGAUUCAUUGGGUUUAAAGGGUGCGUAGGCGGAGCGUUAAGUCAGUGGUGAAAUCCUGCAGCUUAACUGUAGACUUGCCAUUGAUACUGGCGCUCUUGAGUGCGCUUGAAGUGGGCGGAAUGUGCCGUGUAGCGGUGAAAUGCUUAGAUAUGGCACAGAACACCAAUUGCGAAGGCAGCUCACUAAGGCGAUACUGACGCUGAGGCACGAAAGCGUGGGGAUCGAACAGGAUUAGAAACCCUUGUAGUCC
RNAcentral lists this ribosomal RNA (445 nucleotides) under uncultured bacterium. RNAcentral describes it as "partial 16S ribosomal RNA". It matches the Rfam family "Bacterial small subunit ribosomal RNA", at positions 354 to 796 of the family's 1533-position model. The record is from RNAcentral.